GUCUACAGCCAUGCCACCCUGAACAAGCCCGAUGUCUGAUCUCGGAAGCUAAGCAGGGUCAGGCCUGGUUAGUACUUGGAUGGGAGACCACAUAGGAAGACCGGGUGCUGUAGGCA
RNAcentral lists this ribosomal RNA (116 nucleotides) under Pteropus alecto (black flying fox). Lineage: Eukaryota; Metazoa; Chordata; Mammalia; Chiroptera; Pteropodidae. The record is from RNAcentral.